UUGGCCUACGGGAGGCAGCAGUGGGGAAUAUUGCACAAUGGGGGAAACCCUGAUGCAGCGACGCCGCGUGAAGGACGAAGUAUUUCGGUACGUAAACUUCUAUCAGCAGUGAAGAAAAUGACGGUACCUGACCAAGAAGCCCCGGCUAACUACGUGCCAGCAGCCGCGGUAAUACGUAGGGGGCAAGCGUUAUCCGGAUUUACUGGGUGUAAAGGGAGCGUAGACGGCCAUGCAAGUCUGAUGUGAAAACCCGGGGCUCAACCCCGGGACUGCAUUGGAAACUGUGCGGAUGG
Molecule: ribosomal RNA, 293 nt
Filed under: uncultured bacterium
Lineage: Bacteria
Description: partial 16S ribosomal RNA
Rfam family: Bacterial small subunit ribosomal RNA
Source: RNAcentral